CCGAGUGAGGGUGCCAACGCGCCCGACCUCCCACCCUUUGUUCUACGUACGAAUUUGCCUCGGGGGCGACCCGGCUGCGGCCGGUGACCCCCCGGCGGACCUUUUCAAACACUGCAUCUUUGCGUCGGAGUAUUGAAGCAAAUCAAUCA
RNAcentral lists this unclassified non-coding RNA (149 nucleotides) under uncultured fungus. RNAcentral describes it as "sequence contains ITS1, 5.8S rRNA gene". Lineage: Eukaryota; Fungi. The record is from RNAcentral.